GAGAGGAUACCUGAUCACGUACGGGCAUAUCAGUGGCCAGACAGGGUCAGGUAUGUAGUGCUCAAGUGGGGUGAGCUCUUUGGGGGCUAGGUUGACAGACUUUUGAUUCCAGAAACCUCCUCU
Non-coding RNA from Callorhinus ursinus (northern fur seal), 123 nucleotides. The record is from RefSeq and is a predicted model, not a curated record. Lineage: Eukaryota; Metazoa; Chordata; Mammalia; Carnivora; Otariidae.